Molecule: non-coding RNA, 463 nt
Filed under: Triticum aestivum (bread wheat)
Lineage: Eukaryota; Viridiplantae; Streptophyta; Magnoliopsida; Poales; Poaceae
Source: Rfam by way of RNAcentral
AAUUUCCUCAGUUCAAUUUCUUCAGUCUGUUUGUCUUCAUCAUGUGUUAUCCUGUGUUUACGCUUUCCGUACUCUGUGCUUGUCUUCAUUUCAUCAUGAUGACCAUGCUUGUGUUCUGCUGUGCAUACUUUUGAGUACUUAUUCUGCUGCAAGCAGUUCUUCGCUAAGGAAUUUCCUCACUAGCAAAUUCCUCAGUGAAGAAUUCAUAAAAAUCGCCUAUUCACCCCCCUAGUCGAUAUAACGCAUUUUCACCAGUUGACGGCAUUUGUAUUUUAUGUCAUAGGUGAUAUUUUUUUUAUUUAUGAAAGACAAACAAUUGCGAAAGCAUUUGUCAAGAAUGUUUUCAUUAAUCAAGAGUAGAAGUUGAGGGGCUCGAAGACAAUCAGAUUUUGUCAACAAAGAUUCGGUGAAUGUUGCUUAUGGGACUCCACCAACACCUUAUAAAGAUCAAAAUCCUUGGAUU